UACGUAGGGUGCGAGCGUUAAUCGGAAUUACUGGGCGUAAAGCGUGCGCAGGCGGUUUUGUAAGCCAGAUGUGAAAUCCCCGGGCUUAACCUGGGAAUGGCAUUUGGGACUGCAAGGCUCGAGUGCGGAAGAGGAGACUGGAAUUCCUGGUGUAGCAGUGAAAUGCGUAGAUAUCAGGAGGAACACCGAUGGCGAAGGCAGGUCUCUGGGCUGACACUGACGCUCAUGCACGAAAGCGUGGGGAGCAAACAGG
Molecule: ribosomal RNA, 253 nt
Filed under: uncultured bacterium
Lineage: Bacteria
Description: partial 16S ribosomal RNA
Rfam family: Bacterial small subunit ribosomal RNA
Source: RNAcentral